This 19-nucleotide microRNA is filed under the name Bos taurus (domestic cattle). RNAcentral describes it as "bta-miR-2904". The record is from miRBase by way of RNAcentral. Lineage: Eukaryota; Metazoa; Chordata; Mammalia; Artiodactyla; Bovidae.
GGGAGCCUCGGUUGGCCUC